Molecule: ribosomal RNA, 374 nt
Filed under: Hastula albula
Lineage: Eukaryota; Metazoa; Mollusca; Gastropoda; Neogastropoda; Terebridae
Description: partial 12S ribosomal RNA
Source: RNAcentral
UCUUGAGAGUAAAUUGCAUUUGCUACCAGAGUACUAUGAAUGAAUAAAAAUUUAAAACUCAAAGGACUUGGCGGUGUCUUAGACCAUUUAGGGGAACCUGUCUCGUAAUCGACAGUCCACGUUAUACCUGACCUUUCUUUGUAAAGCAGUUUGUAUACCGUUGUCGUCAGGUAACUUUUUAGAAAAAUGAAGUUAGCAAUAUAAAUAAAUUAUUUGGGACGUCAAAUCAAGGUGCAGCUAAUGGAAAGGAGAGGAUGGGUUACAAUUAUUUAAUUUAUAAUUUUACGGAUAUAGUUAUAGAAAAAUUCUAUGUAAGGAGGACUUAAAAGUAAAUUGAUAUAUAAAGACAAUUUGAAUGAGGCUCUGAGACGUGU